Alosa alosa (allis shad) is the source of this 1289-nucleotide long non-coding RNA. RefSeq lists it as uncharacterized. The transcript is spliced from 2 exons. NCBI's taxonomy places the organism in Eukaryota, Metazoa, Chordata, Actinopteri, Clupeiformes, Clupeidae. The record is from RefSeq and is a predicted model, not a curated record.
CCAAACUAUGUUCUCACCCCCCCCCUCCAUAAUCCUGCCCCCAACUCCCUCUGGCCUAUCAGCUACCGCUCCCAAGUGUCUGUCAGCUCUGCCCCUACCUCUACCAGCCUCCUGAUUGGACCAGAGAAGAAAAAAUGGGAGUGGCUGCAGAGGGCAGGGCCCCGCCCGUGUGUCUUCGUCUUUUGCAAGAUGGCGAAGAAAUGGGGCGGAGCUUUUUUGUUGUUGUUUGUUGUUGUUGUUUUGUUUUUGUUUAGAUUCUGAAAACGUUGCACCUUAAUUUCCCAUUGGGCCUGAGAGCUCAGAGACUGUCGGAUGUUUCGACACGGAGACUGUCGAUGUUUCGACUCUUUGUAUUUGACUUUUUUUUUUUAACGUGUCGACGACGACGACGAGAAGGAGGUGGAAUGUCAGAGAGUCGUGAGUUCUGAGGAGAUCCGGUGAGGUUCUGCGUUCUGAGGAGAUCCGCCUGGACCCUUCAGGUCUCUCUGGCCUGAUUGGAUCAUCUUAGGACUGGUACGCUCCCAUUGAGUGCUGGAUUAGCUGUUAGCAUUAGCUAGCCUGGAAGCUCACAUCAGGUACUUUUAGCAAAGAAGAGAGGCUCUCCAUAGGGUACAAAAUGUCAGUCCACUCUAAUUCUUCGACCCCACUUUGUGGUACCCUGUUCCGAGUUCUGUUCUCACAAGACUCUUAGAACCGACAGAAUGUGUGGGGCUUGAUAGGGCCUCUUUCUUCCUCAGCACUUUCCGUUAGAACUUUGUACAGGACUUUAGCUUGAUAGCACUUCAGGUGGUUUCACAACUCUCAUCACAUACAAUCUGUAAUUCUAUAGACUCUACAAUACUCAACAAGACAUCUUUACUUCAAUAGACUUCACAAUACUCAACGGUACUUCAAAUACUUCUGUGUACUUUUACGAUGUUUAACUGUACCUUGGUACUCUUAGGUCUCUUCUCAAUACUUACUGUACUUCAAUAUUUCAGUAGACUUCACAGUUCAUGGGAUGGUGCUUUGGUUCUCCUGAGUAGACAGUUACAGAACUGCCUGUGCUCAGCAGUGCUUGAUAGUUCUCUGCGCCUGCUCUCUGUUGCCCUCUGAUUUAGUCAGACUACACCACAGUGCUAUAUAAACUCAAUGCCUUCAGACUGGAAGCUAGUUUUACAGCGUCUGAAACCUGGCUCUUUAGUAGUUUCUUUGUCUUUUUUUUUCUUUUCUUGUUUUCUUUUUUUUUGUUGCCUGAAAUACACUCCCAAGGGUUCCCUUCCAUCCCUUGCUCUCAUACAUCCAAACAC